Helianthus annuus (common sunflower) is the source of this 449-nucleotide long non-coding RNA. RefSeq lists it as uncharacterized. Lineage: Eukaryota; Viridiplantae; Streptophyta; Magnoliopsida; Asterales; Asteraceae. The record is from RefSeq and is a predicted model, not a curated record. The transcript has 2 exons.
GUUUUCAAAAUGAAGUUAAGUGGUGUUAUCUUCUUAGUUGUGCUUUUAACUCUUGUCCUGAUUUCUUCACAAGCAAGAAAUCUUCAAGCCUCUCUACAACCCCAAAUUAAUAGCCGAACUGACUAUCUUCAACGCGCAUGAAAUCAGGUCGUCCAAGCCACGUCGGAUCCGACCGAAGUUAGAUCUUGCGUUGGAGUCGGCCAUCCGAUGGUGUCUGAAAGUCAGGCGUCCAAAGUUAAGGACUUGGUUUGUCUUGGUCCUUGAGCCAUUCUCUUUUCUUUUUUCUUUACUUUUUUCUUUGCAAAGAUGACUUUUAGUUUUAUAUCUUGAGUUAUUUUUGUAAAGCUUCAUGAUAAAUCUUUAAUGGAGAAAUCCAUAUGGAGAAGACGACUGCACAGAAGUGUAAAAGUAGAGAGUUUUUGUUUUAUUAUAAGAAAAGUUUAUAUUCA